RNAcentral lists this transfer RNA (78 nucleotides) under Peptococcaceae bacterium. RNAcentral describes it as "tRNA-Val". It matches the Rfam family "tRNA". From Rfam's summary of the family: Transfer RNA (tRNA) molecules are approximately 80 nucleotides in length. Their secondary structure includes four short double-helical elements and three loops (D, anti-codon, and T loops). Lineage: Bacteria; Bacillati; Bacillota; Clostridia; Eubacteriales; Peptococcaceae. The record is from RNAcentral.
GGGCGGUUAGCUCAGUCUGGUUAGAGUACAUGCUUGACAUGCAUGGGGUCACUGGUUCGAACCCAGUACCGCCCACCA